ACACUGGUGGUUCAGUGGUAGAAUUCUCGCCUUCCAUGUGGGAGACGCAGGUUUGAUUCCUGGCCAGUGUA
This 71-nucleotide transfer RNA is filed under the name Loxodonta africana (African savanna elephant). It matches the Rfam family "tRNA". Rfam says of the family: Transfer RNA (tRNA) molecules are approximately 80 nucleotides in length. Lineage: Eukaryota; Metazoa; Chordata; Mammalia; Proboscidea; Elephantidae. The record is from Rfam by way of RNAcentral.